This 490-nucleotide ribosomal RNA is filed under the name uncultured bacterium. Its description in RNAcentral is "partial 16S ribosomal RNA". It matches the Rfam family "Bacterial small subunit ribosomal RNA", at positions 30 to 507 of the family's 1533-position model. The record is from RNAcentral.
AUUGAACGCUGGCGGCAGGCCUAACACAUGCAAGUCGAACGGUAACAGGAAACAGCUUGCUGUUUCGCUGACGAGUGGCGGACGGGUGAGUAAUGUCUGGGAAACUGCCUGAUGGAGGGGGAUAACUACUGGAAACGGUAGCUAAUACCGCAUAACGUCGCAAGACCAAAGAGGGGGACCUUCGGGCCUCUUGCCAUCGGAUGUGCCCAGAUGGGAUUAGCUAGUAGGUGGGGUAAAGGCUCACCUAGGCGACGAUCCCUAGCUGGUCUGAGAGGAUGACCAGCCACACUGGAACUGAGACACGGUCCAGACUCCUACGGGAGGCAGCAGUGGGGAAUAUUGCACAAUGGGCGCAAGCCUGAUGCAGCCAUGCCGCGUGUAUGAAGAAGGCCUUCGGGUUGUAAAGUACUUUCAGCGGGGAGGAAGGGAGUAAAGUUAAUACCUUUACUCAUUGACGUUACCCGCAGAAGAAGCACCGGCUAACUCCGUG